This 264-nucleotide unclassified non-coding RNA is filed under the name Hevea brasiliensis (rubber tree). Lineage: Eukaryota; Viridiplantae; Streptophyta; Magnoliopsida; Malpighiales; Euphorbiaceae. The record is from RNAcentral.
AGACAAAUAGUUAUGCAGAAAAAUCUUAAAUUUGAUGACUAAAUGGUUGUUUUUGAAUUUGAAAAGAUAAAUUGAGAAAAAUGAUAGGUCGUUAGCUUGGCGCAAAAAUCGACGAUUGUUCUUUGAUAAUUAAACAACCUGUUAUCAUAUAUAGCUGUUGGAAAUACAGCACUUCUGUAGUGGCGGCGGCGUUUUGUGAGAGGAAAAUUAAGCAUCAACCGGGACAAGCAUAUUCAUACCAUUUCACAGAGGAAAGGAAGGAAA